GAUGAACGCUGGCGACGUGCCUAAUACAUGCAAGUCGAGCGAACAGACGAUGAGAUCUUUCCCUUGCCGUUAGCGGCGGACGGGCGAGUAACACAUGGAUCACCUACUUCUAUGUCUGGGAUAAUAACGUGAAACCGGUGCUACUAAUACCUCAUAUAUUCUACCGCAUGGUUCAAUAGUGAUUGACGCUUUUGCUGAUUCAUAUAGCUGAUUUCGCGCCGGAUUAGCUAGUUGGUAAGGUAACGGCUUACCAAGGCGACGAUGCGUAGCCGACCUGAGAGGAUGAUCAGCCACACUGGAACUGAGACACGGUCCAGACUCCUACGGGAGGCAGCAGUAGGGAAUCUUGGACAAUGGGCGAAAGCCUGACGCAGCAACACCGCGUGAGUGAAGAAGGUCUUCGGGUCGUAAAGCCCUUUUGUUGGGGAAGAACAGAUGUGGGUGAAACUAUGGACGUCUUGACGGUACCUAAUGAAAAAGCAACGGCUAACUACGUG
Molecule: ribosomal RNA, 497 nt
Filed under: uncultured bacterium
Lineage: Bacteria
Description: partial 16S ribosomal RNA
Rfam family: Bacterial small subunit ribosomal RNA
Source: RNAcentral